AGUGAACGCUGGCGGCAGGCCUAACACAUGCAAGUCGAACGGCAACACAGUAAGAGCUUGCUCUUACGGGUGGCGAGUGGCGGGCGGGUGAGGAAUACAUCGGAAUCUACUUUUUCGUGGGGGAUAACGUAGGGAAACUUACGCUAAUACCGCAUACGACCUACGGGUGAAAGCAGGGGAUCUUCGGACCUUUCGCGUCUGAAUGAGCCGAUGUCGGAUUAGCUAGUUGGCGGGGUAAAGGCCCACCAAGGCGACGAUCCGUAGCUGGUCUGAGAGGAUGAUCAGCCACACUGGAACUGAGACACGGUCCAGACUCCUACGGGAGGCAGCAGUGGGGAAUAUUGGGCAAUGGGCGCAAGCCUGAUCCAGCCAUGCCGCGUGGGUGAAGAAGGCCUUCGGGUUGUAAAGCCCUUUUGUUGGGAAAGAAAAGCAGCAGGUUAAUCCCCCGCUGUUCUGACGGUACCCAAAGAAUAAGCACCGGCUAACUUCGUG
This 492-nucleotide ribosomal RNA is filed under the name uncultured bacterium. RNAcentral describes it as "partial 16S ribosomal RNA". It matches the Rfam family "Bacterial small subunit ribosomal RNA", at positions 29 to 507 of the family's 1533-position model. The record is from RNAcentral.